CCCCCUUUUCCUUUUUCUUUUAUUUUUUGAAUUUCUUUUUUCCAAUCUUUUUAUAAAUUCAUUUGGGCUAUUUCAAAUCCUUUUUCAGCUUUUGCCCCCAAAACAAAAGUUGUCACAAAUAAAAAGCUCUACAACUUUGGUUUAGGUUGAAAUUCCAAAUUCCAAUUAGGAUUUGAAAUAAAACUUAAAACUAGUUCUAGGUUUUCAAAUAAAUUCAUUUUGGGGCUUUUUGUGUAAAAUCCAUUUCUCAAUUCCUAUAGCUCCCAAAAAUUUCACAAAAUUAUUCUUAAUUCUUCUAAAAAACAUAUUUCAAUCUAUUUUGGUCAUCACAAGAAUUUUAGAAACAAGUAUACUAAUUUUAUCAUAUUUAAGUCAUGUAAAAUAAGCACAUA
This 392-nucleotide long non-coding RNA is filed under the name Sorghum bicolor (sorghum). RNAcentral describes it as "long non-coding RNA (SBIC_LNC008544)". Lineage: Eukaryota; Viridiplantae; Streptophyta; Magnoliopsida; Poales; Poaceae. The record is from RNAcentral.